GCACCCCGAUGAUGCCAGCACUGGGCUCUGAACCCCCGUGAGGACAGACCACGUGCCCCCUGGCCUCCAGGGCUCUGAGGGGUCC
Molecule: small nucleolar RNA, 85 nt
Organism: Gracilinanus agilis (Agile Gracile Mouse Opossum)
Lineage: Eukaryota; Metazoa; Chordata; Mammalia; Didelphimorphia; Didelphidae
Source: RefSeq, a predicted model, not a curated record